AGUGAACGCUGGCGGUAGGCCUAACACAUGCAAGUCGAGCGGCAGCACAGUAAGAGCUUGCUCUUACGGGUGGCGAGUGGCGGACGGGUGAGGAAUACAUCGGAAUCUACUUUUUCGUGGGGGAUAACGUAGGGAAACUUACGCUAAUACCGCAUACGACCUACGGGUGAAAGCAGGGGAUCUUCACCUUGCGCGAUUGAAUGAGCCGAUGUCGGAUUAGCUAGUUGGCGGGGUAAAGGCCCACCAAGGCGACGAUCCGUAGCUGGUCUGAGAGGAUGAUCAGCCACACUGGAACUGAGACACGGUCCAGACUCCUACGGGAGGCAGCAGUGGGGAAUAUUGGACAAUGGGCGCAAGCCUGAUCCAGCCAUACCGCGUGGGUGAAGAAGGCCUUCGGGUUGUAAAGCCCUUUUGUUGGGAAAGAAAAGCAGCAGGUUAAUACCCCGCUGUUCUGACGGUACCCAAAGAAUAAGCACCGGCUAACUUCGUG
RNAcentral lists this ribosomal RNA (490 nucleotides) under uncultured bacterium. Its description in RNAcentral is "partial 16S ribosomal RNA". It matches the Rfam family "Bacterial small subunit ribosomal RNA", at positions 29 to 507 of the family's 1533-position model. The record is from RNAcentral.